RNAcentral lists this long non-coding RNA (199 nucleotides) under Elaeis guineensis (African oil palm). RNAcentral's name for it is "long non-coding RNA (EGUI_LNC009410)". The record is from RNAcentral. Lineage: Eukaryota; Viridiplantae; Streptophyta; Magnoliopsida; Arecales; Arecaceae.
CUCAUUUUUCUUAGAUCUAAAUCCUCCUAAUCUAAGAAAAAACUUUAUCAAAGAUCUAUGAAGCUCCAAAACAAGGAAGAGUUCAAACUAGAGGAGAUCUUUUCAAUGGAUUUCCUUCAAAGAGGGGUGUGCUAGGGACUAAUGUCAACCAUAAAAGAAAAACCCAAGGUGUUUUCAAGGGUUCUUGAUUGCUCUUCUU